ACACCAGCAGCAGCAGCAGCAGCAGGGAGCUCCUCCCCAACCCCAGCCCCAGUCCCAGCCCCAGUUCCAGCGCCAGGGGCUUCAGCAGACACAGCAACAGCAACAGACAGCAGCUUUGGUCCGGCAGCUCCAACAACAGCUCUCCAAUACCCAGCCACAGCCCAGUACCAACAUAUUUGGACGCUACUGAGCCACCUGGAAGAAGAACGGCUUGUGCCCUGGAUGUGGCCCCACCCCUUCAUCUUAAUUCCUGGUCUCCUUUUCAGGCUAGCACCAGUAGUGGUUGGGGCUCUUCCCUCAGGCUCCAUUUUUAAUAAGUUUUUAGUAUUUUUGUUAAUGUGAGGCGUUGAGCUGUUGGGUUUUGUAUAUUAUUUAUAUAGAGACCCCAGAGCUGUUGCACCCAAUACACAGAGCUUCUUUGCAAA
Molecule: long non-coding RNA, 425 nt
Organism: Lutra lutra (Eurasian river otter)
Lineage: Eukaryota; Metazoa; Chordata; Mammalia; Carnivora; Mustelidae
Exons: 3
Source: RefSeq, a predicted model, not a curated record